Molecule: ribosomal RNA, 458 nt
Filed under: uncultured bacterium
Lineage: Bacteria
Description: partial 16S ribosomal RNA
Rfam family: Bacterial small subunit ribosomal RNA
Source: RNAcentral
CCUACGGGUGGCAGCAGUGAGGAAUAUUGGUCAAUGGGCGAGAGCCUGAACCAGCCAAGUCGCGUGAGGGAGUACUGCCCUAUGGGUUGUAAACCUCUUUUGUCGGGGAGCAAAAGCCGGACGUGUCCGGCUGUGAGAGUACCCGAAGAACAAGCAUCGGCUAACUCCGUGCCAGCAGCCGCGGUAAUACGGAGGAUGCGAGCGUUAUCCGGAUUUAUUGGGUUUAAAGGGUGCGCAGGCGGAUUUUUAAGUCAGCGGUAAAAUCGUGGGGCUCAACCCCAUCCAGCCGUUGAAACUGGGGAUCUAGAGUGUGCGAGAGGUAUGCGGAAUGCGUGGUGGAGCGGUGAAAUGCAUAGAUAUCACGCAGAACCCCGAUUGCGAAGGCAGCAUACCGGUGCACAACUGACGCUCAGGCACGAAAGCGUGGGUAUCGAACAGGAUUAGAUACCCCUGUAGUC